RNAcentral lists this long non-coding RNA (320 nucleotides) under Canis lupus dingo (dingo). RNAcentral's name for it is "lncRNA (ENSCAFG00020006877.1)". The record is from RNAcentral. Lineage: Eukaryota; Metazoa; Chordata; Mammalia; Carnivora; Canidae.
UCUCUCUUGCUCUCUCUCUCUCUUCCCGUCUCUGUGGUUUGUAAGGUAGGUUGCAGUGUGUGUAUAUACACAACAUCAAGAGCAGGAAAAUGGACUCAUUAGGGAGGCAGGCAGUCAUUACCACUCACACUGUACUUCCAGGGAGACACCGAUUAUGAGAAGAGAAACUCAGCGCUGGGGAAGAAGUCACACUAAAAGAAGUAUUAAGAAUUGCCCUUUGAGACUCUGAAGACUGAAGAGUACCUGAUAAAUUGCACGUCCAUCUGUGCCCCAUAGCUGCACAGGUAUGUAUAUGAACCACCUAUAGUUAUGUAAAUCUA